This 289-nucleotide ribosomal RNA is filed under the name uncultured Dorea sp. RNAcentral describes it as "partial 16S ribosomal RNA". The record is from RNAcentral. Lineage: Bacteria; Bacillati; Bacillota; Clostridia; Lachnospirales; Lachnospiraceae.
CUACUGGGGUAUCUAAUCCUGUUUGCUCCCCACGCUUUCGAGCCUCAACGUCAGUCAUCGUCCAGCAAGCCGCCUUCGCCACUGGUGUUCCUCCUAAUAUCUACGCAUUUCACCGCUACACUAGGAAUUCCACUUGCCUCUCCGACACUCUAGCUCAGCAGUUCCAAAUGCAGUCCCGGGGUUGAGCCCCGGGCUUUCACAUCUGGCUUGCCGUGCCGUCUACGCUCCCUUUACACCCAGUAAAUCCGGAUAACGCUUGCCCCCUACGUAUUACCGCGGCUGCUGGCAC